Molecule: ribosomal RNA, 505 nt
Filed under: uncultured bacterium
Lineage: Bacteria
Description: partial 16S ribosomal RNA
Rfam family: Bacterial small subunit ribosomal RNA
Source: RNAcentral
GACGAACGCUGGCGGCGUGCCUAAUACAUGCAAGUCGAACGCACAGUUUAUACUGUAGCUUGCUACACCAUAAACUGUGAGUUGCGAACGGGUGAGUAACGCGUAGGUAACCUGCCUGGUAGCGGGGGAUAACUAUUGGAAACGAUAGCUAAUACCGCAUAAUAUUGAUUAUUGCAUGAUAAUUGAUUGAAAGAUGCUAUUGCAUCACUACCAGAUGGACCUGCGUUGUAUUAGCUAGUAGGUGAGGUAACGGCUCACCUAGGCGACGAUACAUAGCCGACCUGAGAGGGUGAUCGGCCACACUGGGACUGAGACACGGCCCAGACUCCUACGGGAGGCAGCAGUAGGGAAUCUUCGGCAAUGGACGAAAGUCUUACCGAGCAACGCCGCGUGAGGGAAGAAGGUUGUCGGAUCGUAAAGCUCUGUUGUAAGAGAAGAACGGGUGUGAGAGUGGAAAGUUCACACUGUGACGGUAUCUUACCAGAAAGGGACGGCUAACUACGUG